Molecule: ribosomal RNA, 253 nt
Filed under: uncultured bacterium
Lineage: Bacteria
Description: partial 16S ribosomal RNA
Rfam family: Bacterial small subunit ribosomal RNA
Source: RNAcentral
UACAGAGGUCUCAAGCGUUGUUCGGAUUCAUUGGGCGUAAAGGGUGCGUAGGUGGCGCGCUAAGUCGGGUGUGAAAUCUCGGGGCUUAACUCCGAAACUGCAUUCGAUACUGCGGUGCUUGAGGACUGGAGAGGAGACUGGAAUUCAUGGUGUAGCAGUGAAAUGCGUAGAGAUCAUGAGGAAGACCAGUGGCGAAGGCGGGUCUCUGGACAGUUCCUGACACUGAGACACGAAGGCCAGGGGAGCAAACGGG